GCGCCCUUCGUCUAUCGGUCAGGACUCCACCCUUUCACGGGGGAGAGAGGGGUUCGAUUCCCCUAGGGCGCGCCA
This 75-nucleotide transfer RNA is filed under the name Devosia nanyangense. Its description in RNAcentral is "tRNA-Glu". It matches the Rfam family "tRNA". From Rfam's summary of the family: Transfer RNA (tRNA) molecules are approximately 80 nucleotides in length. Their secondary structure includes four short double-helical elements and three loops (D, anti-codon, and T loops). Further hydrogen bonds mediate the characteristic L-shaped molecular structure. tRNAs have two regions of fundamental functional importance: the anti-codon, which is responsible for specific mRNA codon recognition, and the 3' end, to which the tRNAs corresponding amino acid is attached (by aminoacyl-tRNA synthetases). tRNAs cope with the degeneracy of the genetic code in two manners: having more than one tRNA (with a specific anti-codon) for a particular amino acid; and 'wobble' base-pairing, i.e. permitting non-standard base-pairing at the 3rd anti-codon position. The record is from RNAcentral. Lineage: Bacteria; Pseudomonadati; Pseudomonadota; Alphaproteobacteria; Hyphomicrobiales; Devosiaceae.